RNAcentral lists this ribosomal RNA (513 nucleotides) under uncultured bacterium. RNAcentral's name for it is "partial 16S ribosomal RNA". It matches the Rfam family "Bacterial small subunit ribosomal RNA", at positions 28 to 507 of the family's 1533-position model. The record is from RNAcentral.
GACGAACGCUGGCGGCGUGCUUAACACAUGCAAGUCGAACGAAAAGAGGGAAAGAGCUUGCUCUUUCCGGAAUUGAGUGGCAAACGGGUGAGUAACACGUAAACAACCUGCCUUCAGGAUGGGGACAACAGACGGAAACGACUGCUAAUACCGAAUAAGUUCCAAGAGCCGCAUGGCCCAUGGAAGAAAAGGUGGCCUCUACCUGUAAGCUAUCGCCUGAAGAGGGGUUUGCGUCUGAUUAGCUGGUUGGAGGGGUAACGGCCCACCAAGGCGACGAUCAGUAGCCGGUCUGAGAGGAUGAACGGCCACACUGGAACUGAGACACGGUCCAGACUCCUACGGGAGGCAGCAGUGGGGAAUCUUCCGCAAUGGGCGAAAGCCUGACGGAGCAACGCCGCGUGAGUGAGGACGGCCUUCGGGUUGUAAAACUCUGUGAUCCGGGACGAAAAGGCAGAGUGCGAAGAACAAACUGCAUUGACGGUACCGGAAAAGCAAGCCACGGCUAACUACGUG